AUUGAACGCUGACGGCAUGCCUUACACAUGCAAGUCGAACGGCAGCAUAGGAGCUUGCUCCUGAUGGCGAGUGGCGAACGGGUGAGUAAUAUAUCGGAACGUGCCCUAGAGUGGGGGAUAACUAGUCGAAAGACUAGCUAAUAUCGCAUACGAUCUACGGAUGAAAGGGGGGGUUCGCAAGACCUCAUGCUCCUGGAGCGGCCGAUAUCGGAUUAGCUAGUUGUUGGGGUAAAAGCCUACCAAGGCAACGAUCAGUACCUGGUUUGAUAGGACGAGCGGCCACACUGGGACUGAGACACGGCCCAGACUCCUACGGGAGUCAGCAGUGGGGAAUUUUGGACAAUGGGGGCAACCCUGAUCCAGCAAUGCCGCGUGAGUGAAGAAGGCCUUCGGGUUGUAAAGCUCUUUUGUCAGGGAAGAAACGGUAGUAGCGAAUAACUACUACUAAUGACGGUACCUGAAGAAUAAGCACCGGCUAACUACGUGCCAGCCGCCGCCGUAA
Molecule: ribosomal RNA, 502 nt
Filed under: uncultured bacterium
Lineage: Bacteria
Description: partial 16S ribosomal RNA
Rfam family: Bacterial small subunit ribosomal RNA
Source: RNAcentral